RNAcentral lists this ribosomal RNA (404 nucleotides) under uncultured bacterium. RNAcentral's name for it is "partial 16S ribosomal RNA". It matches the Rfam family "Bacterial small subunit ribosomal RNA", at positions 28 to 526 of the family's 1533-position model. The record is from RNAcentral.
GAUGAACGCUGACAGAAUGCUUAACACAUGCAAGUCAACUGUGGCGGACGGGUGAGUAACGCGUAAAGAACUUGCCUCACAGAUAGGGACAACAUUUGGAAACGAACGCUAAUACCUGACACUGUGAGAGAGCUUUGCGUCCCAUUAGCUAGUUGGAGAGGUAACGGCCCACCAAGGCGAUGAUGGGUAGCCGGCCUGAGAGGGUGAUCGGCCACAAGGGGACUGAGACACGGCCCUUACGCCUACGGGAGGCAUCAGUGGAGACUAUUGGACAAUGGACCAAAGUCUGAUCCAGCAAUUCUGUGUGCACGAUGAAGUUUUCGGAAUGUAAAGUGCUUUCAGUUGGGAAGCGGUACCAACAGAAGAAGUGACGGCUAAAUACGUGCCAGCAGCCGCGGUAAUUC